GACGAACGCUGGCGGCGUGCUUAACACAUGCAAGUCGAACGGAAAGGCCCUGCUUUUGUGGGGUGCUCGAGUGGCGAACGGGUGAGUAACACGUUAGUAACCUGCCCUUUACUUUGUGAUAACUUCAGGAAACUGGGGCUAAUACCUGAUAGGAGCUCCUGCUGCAUGGUGGGGGUUGGAAAGUUUCGGCGGUUGGGGAUGGACUCGCGGCUUAUCAGCUUGUUGGUGGGGUAGUGGCUUACCAAGGCUUUGACGGGUAGCCGGCCUGUGAGGGUGAACGGGCACAAGGGGACUGAGAUACGGACCAGACUGCAACGGGAGGAAGCAGUGGGGAAUAUUGCACAAUGGGCGGAAGGCUGAUGAAGCAACGACGCGUGCGGGAUGACGGCCUUCGGGUUGUAAAGCGAAUUAGCCUGUGACGAAGCGUGAGUGACGGUAAUGGGUAAAGAAGCACCGGCUAACUACGUG
RNAcentral lists this ribosomal RNA (468 nucleotides) under uncultured bacterium. RNAcentral describes it as "partial 16S ribosomal RNA". It matches the Rfam family "Bacterial small subunit ribosomal RNA", at positions 28 to 507 of the family's 1533-position model. The record is from RNAcentral.